AAGAUGCUAGUAACAAAGAUUACACUGCCUUGUCGAGACAGAAUUGUGGGUUAAAGUCCCGCGCAUCUUA
This 70-nucleotide transfer RNA is filed under the name Gymnomuraena zebra (zebra moray). RNAcentral's name for it is "tRNA-Asp". Lineage: Eukaryota; Metazoa; Chordata; Actinopteri; Anguilliformes; Muraenidae. The record is from RNAcentral.